GCCUCUUGUAGAGUUGGAGUGACUCUUUGAGGCUCAUCUGUGUGGAGGGGUUGCUGGGGCAUUAGUAGCCUUCCCUGCAUCUUCCAGUUUUAGUUUUUUCAUAUACUCAUUGAAUGUAACAGAAUGUAACAUUGGGCCCUUGUGCCUACAAAAAUUAUACAACUUUCAGCAACGGAUCUCUUGGCUCUCGCAUCGAUGAAGAACGCAGCGAAAUGCGAUAAGUAAUGUGAAUUGCAGAAUUCAGUGAAUCAUCGAAUCUUUGAACGCACCUUGCGCUCCUUGGUAUUCCGAGGAGCAUGCCUGUUUGAGUGUCAUUAAAUUCUCAAUCGUUAUUAGCUUUUGCUGAUGAUGACUUGGAUAUGGGGGUUUAUUUUGCUGGCUUCUUCACAGAUUGUCAGCUCCCCUUAAAUGCAUUAGCUGGUGCCCCGCGUGGACUUGUCUAUUGGUGUGAUAAUUAUCUACGCCGUGGACAUCUACAAUCAUAUGGGUUUGCGCUGCUUCCAACCGUCUGUUGAUUCAGACAAUACAUGACAAUUUGACCUC
Molecule: ribosomal RNA, 543 nt
Filed under: uncultured fungus
Lineage: Eukaryota; Fungi
Description: eukaryotic LSU rRNA
Rfam family: 5.8S ribosomal RNA (bases 161-314)
Source: RNAcentral